AGGAUAAACGCUGGCGGCGUGCAUGAGACAUGCAAGUCAAACGGACGAUCGGGGUUCGCUCUGAUCGUUAGUGGCGGACGGCUGAGUAACGCGUAGGUGACCUGCCCCGAAGUGGGGAAUAACUGCCCGAAAGGGUGGCUAAUACCGCAUGUGGUGGUGCGUUCGAUCGCACCAGUAAAGCCGCAAGGCGCUUCGGGAGGGGCCCGCGUCCGAUUAGCUCGUUGGUGAGGUAACGGCUCACCAAGGCGACGAUCGGUAGGUGGUCUGAGAGGACGAUCACCCAGACUGGGACUGAGACACGGCCCAGACUCCUACGGGAGGCAGCAGUCGGGAAUUUUGCGCAAUGGACGAAAGUCUGACGCAGCAACGCCGCGUGGGGGAUGAAGGCCUUCGGGUCGUAAACCCCUUUCAGGAGGGACGAAAAUGACGGUACCUCCAGAAGAAGCCCCGGCCAACUACGUGCCAGCAGCCGC
This 473-nucleotide ribosomal RNA is filed under the name uncultured bacterium. Its description in RNAcentral is "SSU rRNA". It matches the Rfam family "Bacterial small subunit ribosomal RNA", at positions 26 to 518 of the family's 1533-position model. The record is from RNAcentral.